AUGCAACUAGAGCAAGGUGAAGAGACUUUAUCUGAUUGCCUCUGGCAUUUUCUCCAAAGCCACUUGUUUCUCAGUAGCAGAAAUAUCUUGCCCAAUUGGGAUGCAAUAAUUUCAAAGCAAGUAAAGGAAACUGCAGCUGCUCAGCUGAGUCAGCCAAAGGUGCUGGAGCCUUCUCGUGGUAUCUACAAGCUGAGGAUGGAGGAUGACACUUGUCAGUCUCUCCCCCUGUGGGCCCCACUCAGUGUUGUGCAGAUCCUUCUGGUUUUCCCUAUCCCAUGGUGGCUCCCCGUGGAAGCAAUGUGUUUUGAAACAGAACCAGAGAUUUAUUGGCCUGCUGGGGUGGGCAAAGGCACACCUUGGUCAUGUGAAAUACCUGCCUUACUCUGACUGCAGCAGAGCUGAAGAGUUAACAGAUCACAGACCUGGCCUGUUCUGUCAUUUGAGCAAUAUAGCUAAGCUUUAGGACACAGAAUAAAAUUGGUAUCUGCCGUUAUUUGGCCUUUUGA
Molecule: long non-coding RNA, 506 nt
Filed under: Chloebia gouldiae (Gouldian finch)
Lineage: Eukaryota; Metazoa; Chordata; Aves; Passeriformes; Passeridae
Description: Erythrura gouldiae (Gouldian finch) lncRNA (ENSEGOG00005013808.1)
Source: RNAcentral